UACGUAGGCAGCGAGCGUUGUUCGGAGUUACUGGGCGUAAAGGGUGUGUAGGCGGUUCUCUAAGUUUGGUGUGAAAACUCCCGGCUCAACUGGGAGGGUGCACCGAAAACUGGAGGGCUAGAGUACGGGAUGGGAGAGUAGAAUUCCUGGUGUAGCGGUGAAAUGCGUAGAUAUCAGGAGGAAUACCGGGGGUGUAGACGGCUCUCUGGACCGUAACUGACGCUGAGAAACGAAAGCGUGGGUAGCAAACAGG
RNAcentral lists this ribosomal RNA (253 nucleotides) under uncultured bacterium. RNAcentral's name for it is "partial 16S ribosomal RNA". It matches the Rfam family "Bacterial small subunit ribosomal RNA", at positions 524 to 776 of the family's 1533-position model. The record is from RNAcentral.